RNAcentral lists this long non-coding RNA (824 nucleotides) under Corvus moneduloides (New Caledonian crow). RNAcentral describes it as "lncRNA (ENSCMUG00000018437.1)". Lineage: Eukaryota; Metazoa; Chordata; Aves; Passeriformes; Corvidae. The record is from RNAcentral.
CCAUCCCAAACCAUGGGGAGAGCAGCAGCAAUCCCAAGGCCUGAGUCACCUCCCGGUGCUCCCAGCCCGCAGAGGGAGCUGCUGGAGUUCGGAUUCACCGGGCCGUGACAAAUCAAUAAACCCGGCCCUGGUGUUGCAUAAGAGUGGGAUGCUGGAAUUCCUGCAUGGAAUGAGCUUUGGGAGCCUCCCGGGAGGCCUUUGGUCCCUCCUGGCCCCGUGGCUCCAGCAGCUCCCGGUGCUGCGGGGUGGGCCGAGGUGACCGGAGGUGUGGAACAGGAUUAAGAAGCUCUGCACCAGGGAAGUGUGAAAAUCCAGCUGGGACAGCCAGCAGGAUCAAACCCAUGAUCCAGGCUGGGACUGCAGAUCCUGGCCCUGUGGAGCACAACAUCCCUGGUUUCAUUAUCCCAGCUCUCCACCGGAGGCAUCGCUCGCAGUCCCUCGGGACGAGUUGGACAACGCCGGGAAUGCUCAGGAGGGCUCCUGGCAACUCCAGGUGAAGCCAGGAGAGAUCCUGCGGGAUUCAGGGAGGAUCCUGGCAGGUGACGCCACGUGGGAUGAUCCUGAUCCCGAGCUGAUUUCCAGCUCCAGAUUCCAAUCUCCUGCACUUCCUCUCUCCCUGGGGGAGAUAAGGAUCCUGGGCACGAAGGGCUGAGCUGCCUGGAAUUGCAUCCGCUCCCACAGCCCGGCCAAGGCGGGAGCGAGGCCUCUCCUGGGGAAUGGGGAAUGGGAGGGGAUGGGGAAGGGGCAGGCGCCGCCUUCCUGUGGGUGUUUUCCAGAGAGAAACCGGGAUGGAGCCGGCACCUGCCAGAGCAGGUGACUCGGGU